UGGGGAAUUUUGGACAAUGGGCGAAAGCCUGAUCCAGCAAUGCCGCGUGUGUGAAGAAGGCCUUCGGGUUGUAAAGCACUUUUGUCCGGAAAGAAAUCCUCUGGGUUAAUACCUCGGGGGGAUGACGGUACCGGAAGAAUAAGCACCGGCUAACUACGUGCCAGCAGCCGCGGUAAUACGUAGGGUGCAAGCGUUAAUCGGAAUUACUGGGCGUAAAGCGUGCGCAGGCGGUUUUGUAAGACGGAUGUGAAAUCCCCGGGCUUAACCUGGGAACUGCAUUCGUGACUGCAAGGCUAGAGUAUGGCAGAGGGGGGUAGAAUUCCACGUGUAGCAGUGAAAUGCGUAGAGAUGUGGAGGAAUACCGAUGGCGAAGGCAGCCCCCUGGGCCAAUACUGACGCUCAUGCACGAAAGCGUGGGGAGCAAACAGGAUUAGAUACCCUGGUAGUCCACGCCCUAAACGAUGUCAACUAGUUGUUGGGGAUUCAUUUCCUUAGUAACGUAGCUAACGCGUGAAGUUGACCGCCUGGGGAGUAUGGUCGCAAGAUUAAAACUCAAAUGAAUUGACGGGGUCAUAGCUGUUUCCU
Molecule: ribosomal RNA, 585 nt
Filed under: uncultured bacterium
Lineage: Bacteria
Description: partial 16S ribosomal RNA
Rfam family: Bacterial small subunit ribosomal RNA
Source: RNAcentral